AACCUAUUAGCUCAAUUGGAAGAGCAUGCACUAUGCGCAAGAUGUAGGUUCGAUUCCCACAUAGGUUA
Transfer RNA from Beta vulgaris subsp. vulgaris (sugar beet), 68 nucleotides. It matches the Rfam family "tRNA". Rfam says of the family: Transfer RNA (tRNA) molecules are approximately 80 nucleotides in length. Their secondary structure includes four short double-helical elements and three loops (D, anti-codon, and T loops). The record is from Rfam. NCBI's taxonomy places the organism in Eukaryota, Viridiplantae, Streptophyta, Magnoliopsida, Caryophyllales, Amaranthaceae.